GCUCCAAUAGCGUAUAUUAAAGUUGUUGCAGUUAAAAAGCCGUAGUUGAAUGUUAGGCUCGGCCAGACGGUAUUGCUUCAUUGCAGUCACUGUCUUGGGCGGGUCUUACCUUCUGGGGAACUAGUAUGCUCUUAAUUGAGUGUGCUAGGGAUCCAGGACUUUUUACUUUGAAAAAAUUAGAGUGUUUAAAGCAGGCCUUU
Molecule: ribosomal RNA, 200 nt
Filed under: uncultured eukaryote
Lineage: Eukaryota
Description: partial 18S ribosomal RNA
Rfam family: Eukaryotic small subunit ribosomal RNA
Source: RNAcentral